RNAcentral lists this ribosomal RNA (468 nucleotides) under uncultured bacterium. RNAcentral's name for it is "partial 16S ribosomal RNA". It matches the Rfam family "Bacterial small subunit ribosomal RNA", at positions 28 to 507 of the family's 1533-position model. The record is from RNAcentral.
GACGAACGCUGGCGGCGUGCUUAACACAUGCAAGUCGAACGGAAAGGCCCUGCUUUUGUGGGGUGCUCGAGUGGCGAACGGGUGAGUAACACGUGAGUAACCUGCCCUUGCCUUUGGGAUAACUUCAGGAAACUGGGGCUAAUACCGGAUAGGAGUUCCUGCUGCAUGGUGGGGGUUGGAAAGUUUCGGCGGUUGGGGAUGGACUCGCGGCUUAUCAGCUUGUUUGUGGGGUAGUGGCUUACCAAGGCUUUGACGGGUAGCCGGCCUGAGAGGGUGACCUGCCACAUUGGGACUGAGAUACGGCCCAGACUCCAACGGGAGGCAGCGGUGGGGAAGAUUGCACAAUGGGCGGAAGCCUGAUGCAGCCACGCCGCGUGCGGGAUGACGGCCUUCGGGUUGUAAUCCGCUUUCGCCUGUGACGAAGCGUGAGUGACGGUAAUGGGUAAAGAAGCACCGGCUAACUACGUG